This 22-nucleotide small nuclear RNA is filed under the name Arabidopsis thaliana (thale cress). Its description in RNAcentral is "snRNA_11276". The record is from RNAcentral. Lineage: Eukaryota; Viridiplantae; Streptophyta; Magnoliopsida; Brassicales; Brassicaceae.
UGGUUCCCUCCGAAGUUUCCCU